CCUACGGGGGGCCGCCGUGGGGCCUCUUGGGCCCUGGGCGCCCGCCUGCCCCAGCCACGCCGCGUGAAGGAAGAAGGCUUUCGGGUUGUAAACUUCUUUUAAGGGGGAAGAGGAGAAGACGGUACCCCUUGAAUAAGCCACGGCUAACUACGUGCCAGCAGCCGCGGUAAUACGUAGGUGGCAAGCGUUGUCCGGAUUUACUGGGUGUAAAGGGCGUGCAGCCGGGAGGACAAGUCAGAUGUGAAAUCCCGCGGCUCAACCGCGGAACUGCAUUUGAAACUGUUUUUCUUGAGUACCGGAGAGGG
This 305-nucleotide ribosomal RNA is filed under the name uncultured bacterium. RNAcentral describes it as "bacterial SSU rRNA". It matches the Rfam family "Bacterial small subunit ribosomal RNA", at positions 338 to 658 of the family's 1533-position model. The record is from RNAcentral.